RNAcentral lists this ribosomal RNA (490 nucleotides) under uncultured bacterium. Its description in RNAcentral is "partial 16S ribosomal RNA". It matches the Rfam family "Bacterial small subunit ribosomal RNA", at positions 30 to 507 of the family's 1533-position model. The record is from RNAcentral.
AUUGAACGCUGGCGGCAGGCCUAACACAUGCAAGUCGAACGGUAACAGGAAGAAGCUUGCUUCUUUGCUGACGAGUGGCGGACGGGUGAGUAAUGUCUGGGAAACUGCCUGAUGGAGGGGGAUAACUACUGGAAACGGUAGCUAAUACCGCAUAACGUCGCAAGACCAAAGAGGGGGACCUUCGGGCCUCUUGCCAUCGGGUGUGCCCAGAUGGGAUUAGCUAGUAGGUGGGGUAACGGCUCACCUAGGCGACGAUCCCUAGCUGGUCUGAGAGGAUGACCAGCCACACUGGAACUGAGACACGGUCCAGACUCCUACGGGAGGCAGCAGUGGGGAAUAUUGCACAAUGGGCGCAAGCCUGAUGCAGCCAUGCCGCGUGUAUGAAGAAGGCCUUCGGGUUGUAAAGUACUUUCAGCGGGGAGGAAGGGAGUAAAGUUAAUACCUUUGCUCAUUGACGUUACCCGCAGAAGAAGCACCGGCUAACUCCGUG